CUGAGGCUCAGCAGCCAUGGCUCCCAGGCUCUGGAGCUCAGGCUCAGCAGCUGUGGCUCUAGAGCUCGGGCUCAGCAGCCGUGGCUCCCGGGCUCCGGAGCUCAGGCUCAGCAGCCGUGGCUCUCAGGGUUGCCUGCUCCCCGGCAUGUGGGAUCUUCCCACACCAGAGACGGAACCAGUGUGUCCUGCAUUGGCAGGCAGAUUUCCUCACCACUGAGCCACCAGGGAAGCCCCCCUUCAAUAUUCUUAAACAUAAAAUAUACAGACUGGUGAUUAAAAAGGCACACACCCCUCGCCGAACCAGGUUCCAGAAAACCGCUCAUGUCAAGGUCCUCCCAGUCCACCUACUGCCGUCCUGUGACUUCACCCGGGAGGGCUUUCGAGUCGGCCUGCCUGGGACAAAAACGCUCCUGUAGCCCCUCCGUUACCAGAAGAGCCACCACACGCUGGAGGCGCAGCCCUUGGCUCAGGCAGGCUGCCUACGCAUGCAGGAGGCGCCAUCAGCAUCUUCCUCCCAGAGAGGCAGAGGGUCAGCAACUUGAUGGCAGGGUCCCAACGGGCCAGCAGGAAGAGACGACGUCCUGGCGCAGGAGCAGCACGGGCUGCGGAUGACAGCCCCGAUAAGCCGGCCACGGCUAUACACGGGAGACAGGAAAAUGAAUCUCCGCUGGCGACAAGAUCACAAUCAGCCUGGUAUGGUGAAGAAUUAAUCAUACUGGCCAAAUGCAAUUGAGUUCUGACACCUCUGGGUUCGAAGUACAAGAGUCAAGAAUAAAGACCAGUCAGUCCCAGACGAUUGGUUACUUGUUACACUCACAUGGAAAGACCAGAUUAUGUUAACAGCACUAACAGGCAGGAACUAAAGUCUGAAGACAGAUUUCCUUGGCACUUAAGAGCAUUCUAAAAAUAUAGAUGUGACACCAAAGCCGUAGCUGGGGUGACUCUUCUAGAACCUGAGUCAGGUAUCAUGCCUCCUGCCCAAGACCCCCAGCCCAGACCAUACCCCUCACCCUCUGCUCCAGCCAGCCUGCCUCCUCCCCCCCCCUUACGGCCAGCACAAUCCACGCU
Molecule: long non-coding RNA, 1068 nt
Organism: Bos taurus (domestic cattle)
Lineage: Eukaryota; Metazoa; Chordata; Mammalia; Artiodactyla; Bovidae
Source: Ensembl